AUGUUUUUUUUUUUUUUUUUUUUUUUUUUUUUUUUUUUUUUUAAACUCUAUCGGCUAUCCGGUCGGUCCUGGUAGGAACGCACCGAGGUGCUAUAUGUUUAACAAUUUCUUAUGGUUUCGUUACAUGUCACCUUUAUGUGUUUAUGUAUUUAUUUAUUUUUUUGGAUAAAAUUAUGUGUUUAUAUAUGUAUUAUUGUUUUAUAUUGUUACUUCAGAUAAAGAACCCCUAGAAUAGACCAUGAUCAAGAAAUGGUGAUGUAGUGGUAGAUUUCGGGCAGAAUUGUUUUUCUGUGUAUGGAUAAUUUGUCAAAUCCGAUCCUCCUAUCUAAUAUUGAGCCACACUAUUAAUAUUUUCGUUGUUACUCUAAAAAUAUAAAAACAUGAUCCGGUGGUCUAACGUCAUGUUAUAUACAUUUUGGGUCGGGACAUGUGAAAUUGAGUAGGUUAGAGAUAGUCAAAGUUGGGAAAGUAACGAUACAGACGAAAAGAAACGAGUUAAGGUAUGUCUUUGAAGUGUCAGCAGCAUUAAUUUGCCUUAACUUUAGUGUUAUGUUAAUUAUAUAUAUAUAUAUAUAUAUAAACUCUAGUGUUAAGUUUUUUAAAGAAAAAUAAAACACGUUAUAAAUAUUAAAUAUAGGAAAAGCGUGGUAGGGCUUCUAACAAAAAACAUUAGAUAGUAACAAAAACCAAGCCGAGAUUGGAAAUCAUGUUGAUUUUCGUGCCAAAGAUGCUUGCACCUAUCAACAAAGUUACAAGAAACUAACAAAAAAAUUAUCUAUUAUGCGACGAGAUAAUACAUGGAUACAAAUGUACAUGCAUGUCUAUUAAUGAAACUUUACGAAAGGAUGACCAACACACAAUGACUGCAUCAACACCUCCGCAUCUUACUUGAGAGUUUUGUAUAUAUGUGAAAAGGGUCUAUAUCACGCAUGCAGAAUUAGCUCUACAAUAGUUCAUCAAUAUUUCUAUAAGCGAUCAGAUGUACAUCUAUGUUGUGAAAAUACUUUGCCAGUAUCCAAAAUUUAAAAAAUUAGUAGAUAACUUACACCAAAUUGUCUAGAAACCGGAAGUGUCCUCUAAAAAUACGUGGGUCGGGGGAGAUUUAACCAUGAGAAAGUUUCUUUCAAAAUCUCUAACACUAUCACAACGUUUUUUGUUCACUCAAUCUGUACAAAAAUAAAACAGACUAAAUGGAUUAUUGGUGUAUAUAUUAGCUUGUCCUUAAUCGUCUUUUACUUGUAUCAUUAGGUUAGCUAAUUAGGUCAUAAUUCCCUUGUAUAAAUGGUGCCUCUUUGGCCUAUGUGAAUAAUAACAGAGAAUUCUAUUCAAUCAUGUUUCUCUGACAUGGUAUCAGAGCCAAAAGGCUAAAAUCUUUUUAUCUCUUUGAUUGUGAAACUCGACCAUGGCAACCGGAGGUGGAGAAGAUGGUGCUGCUACGAGAACUGCGUUGGCUGUGACGGUUGAAGGCAAGGUCUCAAAGAGACGCACGAUUCAUCCAUAUGAUUUGUCGGCGAGUGAUAACCCGGGGACAGUGAUAUCUCAGGUUCUUCUUAAUGGUGAUAACUUUGAAGAUUGGGCAAGAGAAUUGAGGACAGCUUUGCGUGCUCGCAAAAAGUUUGGCUUCGUUGAUGGCUCAAUAAAGAAACCUGAAGAAGAUUCUGAAGACAUCGAAGACUGGUGGACGAUUAAUUCGUUGUUGGUGUCAUGGAUUCGCAAUUCGAUUGAUCCAUCUCUCCGUCGGGAUAUCUCACACUUUGAGAUUGCUAAGGAGUUGUGGGAUGAUAUUGCAGAACAAUAUGAGAUUGUGUCUGGACCGCGAAUUCAACAAUUGAAACAUGAGCUGAUGACUUGCAAACAGAAAGGUUUGAGUAUCAAGACAUACUAUGGGAGAUUGAAGAAGUUGUGGGAGGAUCUUGCUGAUUAUGACAAAGAAGAUCAAUGUACCUGCAACGACUGCACGUGUGAUUCUAAGGGCCGUGGAGCGCGGAAGAGGGAGAAGGAUAAGGUGCAUCAAUUCUUGAUGGGGCUUGAUGAAACAGUGUUUGGGGCUCUUAAAUCAAGUCUUCUCACUCGUGAUCCACUGCCGUCUUUGAAUCAAGCGUUUUCUCUUGUUCAAAGAGAUGAGACUGUGAGACUUGGAAACAAGGAGACGGAGGUUAAACCCGAGGUGGUUGGUUUUGCGGUGCAAACAGCUCCAAAAGGAAGGGGAUUUGAUUACCGAAAUCACAUUUGUACAAUUUGUGGCAAGAAAGGGCAUGGAGAAGAACGUUGCUAUCAACGCCAUGGGUACCCGGUUUGGUGGAAGGGUGCGAAGAAUGAACAGCCUGAUCGUCCGCAGACAUCGGCGUUGGCUCCUGCUCGGGCUAAGCCGAUGGCACAUGUGAUUGGUACGAUACCGCAAGCAACUGCAAAUCAAGUCAUGACACCCUCGUCGACCUCGACGCCAAGUGGAUUCACACCGGAACAAUGGGAAACUUUGGUUAAUACGUUUCACUUGGUAAAGACAAAAGCUGCGGAGACACUUACGGGUAAGGCUCUUCUUGUCCCUUGGAUUUUAGAUACUGGUGCAUCGAAUCAUAUGACAGGUUGCUUGGAUGUUAUGACAGAAGUCACUGAUAUUUCACCAUGUUUAGUGGGUCUUCCUGAUGGGAGAUUUUCUGUUGCAACAAAACAAGGAACUGUUAGUCUUGGUCAAUUUCUGUGUUUCCUGCAAGUGUUGUAUGUGGAAGGAUUGAAUUGUUAUCUAGUCUCUGUGUCUCAGAUGAUUCAUCAAAACAAGUGUUUUGCUCAUUUGGUCCCGGUUUCUUUGCUAUCCAGGACCGUUCGAGGAUGCUGAUUGGCGCAUGUGAAGAACAAAAUGGUCUUUAUUUUUUUCUUGAAGUAAAAGAAGUGGGAGCAUUCAGUUUACAUGUGGCGGUGACCGUGGAUGUUUGGCAUCGUCGUCUUGGGCAUCCAUCGUCUCAAGUCAUUUCUUUAAUUCCUGGUGUUCAUGUUAGUAGUGGUAGAGAGGUUUCUAGUUCAGUGUGUGAAGUGUGUUUCCGCGCUAAACAAACAAGAGAUUGUUUUCCUACGAGUAUUAAUAAAACAACUGAAAUUUUUCAGCUGAUUCACUGCGAUGUUUGGGGUCCGUAUCGUACUCCUUCUUCUUCUGGGGCUCGGUACUUUCUUACAAUUGUAGAUGAUUUUUCUCGUGGGGUUUGGUUAUUUCUAAUGACUGAGAAGAGUGAAACUUCCACAUACAUGAAACGAUUUCUCGCCAUGACUUCACGGCAAUUUGGUAAAGAUGUGAAAGUGGUACGAAGUGAUAAUGGUACCGAAUUCAUAUGCAUGAAAGACUUCUUUCUGGAAAAUGAGAUUAUUCAUGAGACUUCGUGUGUUGGGACUCCAAAACAGAAUGGUAGAGUGGAACGUAAACAUCGUCAUAUUCUAAAUGUUGCCCGAGCACUUAGAUUUCAGGCGAAUCUUCCAAUUAAUUAUUGGGGAGAGUGCGUUCUUGCCGCUGCUCAUAUUAUCAACAAGACACCGUCGAUGGUGCUCAGUGGUAAGACACCUUAUGAGAUGCUCUUUGGGAAGGUACCUAGUUUUGAUCACUUGAGAGUUUUUGGAUGUCUCUGCUUUGCUCACAAUCAACAUCAUGGAGGUGACAAAUUUGCUAGCAGGUCUCAUAAGUGUGUCUUCUUGGGUUACCCAUAUGCGAAAAAGGGUUGGCUUGUCUAUGAUUUAGAGGAAGAGAAGUUCUUUGUAUCACGAGAUGUUGUCUUCUGUGAGAGUUCUUUUCCUUUUGCAGAUGUUCGCAGGUCUGUGGAACUGAGUGAUUCAGCUCCUGCACCGGUUGAUUUGCACAUUGAAGAGAUACCCGGAGUUGCAGUGGGUGAGGGAUCGAUCGAUCAUGGUGUGCGAUCGAUCGAUCCGAGUGUUGCUGACAUUCCAGACGGUGCGGGAUCGAUCGAUCAUGGUGUACGAUCGAUCGAUCCGAGUGUUACCGAAAUUCCAGACGAUGCGGGAUCGAUCGAUCCACCUUCACGAUCGAUCAAUCCCGAUGCCGUCUGUACUACUUAAAGAAUUUAUUGUCGAGAAACCGUCCAAGCAAGCACCAGUUGGGUAUCCGAUUUCUAACUAUGUUGACUGCAACAGGUUCUCGGAGUCACAUCGUGCUUUCUUAAUGGCGGUGAGUGAUAAUUAUAUUCCUACAUCUUUUGCGGAUGCCAUGAAAUAUGAGCAUUGGCGCAAAGCUAUGGAAAAGGAGGUUGGUUCACUGCAAGAGAGUAAGACAUGGGAUCUUGAAGAUUUACCUUCUAGGAAACGAGCACUUUAUUGUAAGUGGGUUUUUACAAUUAAAUAUCGCUCGGAUGGAUCUAUUAAGAGAUAUAAAGCACGUCUGGUGGUAUGUGGAAAUCGUCAGAUUGAAGGUUUAGAUUAUACAGAGACAUUUGCUCCAGUUGCUAAGAUGGUCUCUGUUCAAAUUUUUCUUCAAAUUGCUGCAGCUAGGAAUUGGGAAUUACAUCAGAUGGAUGUACACAAUGCUUUCCUUCAUGGUGACUUGAAAGAAGAAGUGUACAUGAAACUUCCUCCUGGUUUUAAAACUGAUUCGCCUUCUCGUGUUUGUCGUUUACGCAAAUCUCUUUAUGGGUUGAAGCAGGCUCCGAGAUGUUGGUUUGCAAAGUUGACAACGGCUUUGACGACUUAUGGCUUUACUCAAUCCAAGUAUGAUUAUUCUCUUUUCUCAUUUAUUCGAGAUGGAGUUCAGCUUUACAUUUUGGUGUAUGUUGAUGAUUUGGCCAUCAUGGGUAAUGAUCAUGCUGCAAUUGAAAGAUUCAAAGACUACUUGAGUUCAUGUUUUCAUAUGAAAGAUUUGGGUGUUCUCAAGUAUUUUCUAGGGAUUGAGAUUGCAAGGAAUAGGCACUUGAUUUUAAAUUAAACGAUAAUAAAGGGAACUUGCUCUGCUGACGUGGAGGGCGACUUCAAAGGCGAUCUAGGGUUUUUGUGUUUUGAGCACGGCUUGAUGCCGCCGGCAGCGUCUCCGCCUCGGACUGAGAGGUCUUCGGAGCAGAUCUCUUUGUCUUCGGAAGGGGAACACAAUGAAAACAUCCAGGAUAGCUCACAGGCAAGCUCUGUGAAGGAAAGUUUAAACGAUGAAAGUGCAGAACAGAGCAUUGAAACAGAGGGGGAAGCGGGAGUUUCUGAAACAGUUGCUAAGGAUUCGUGGGUGUCAGUGGCGAAAGGACACACCCGUACAAAACAUAAGUUUGAGGUCUCAGAGGUAGAUGGUCAGAGUAGAGUGGUGGUCCCAAGAGAGAUUUUUGUGGGUGCAAAACCUCUAUGGGAGGAUUUUCUAAUUGGACACUUUGUCAAUGCAAAGGCUCCUCAUGUGGGGAAGAUUCACAUGAUAGUGAAUAAAAUUUGGAGAUUGUGGAAGUCGAAACUAACACAAUCGAGAUUUGUCUAGGGUUUUAAUUUAGGGAUAUGAUAAAUGUGAAUUCUCAAAGAACAACAGAAACAAUUGUAACCAAAGAUGGUGUUCUUGAUCUUAUUGAUGAAAAGAGUAGUUUUGAUCGUACAAGAGUUUGAUCGUAAAAGAAAAAGAUGUUUGUGCUGUGAGCGCUUUGCGUAGUGUAAAUCCUAGAGCGAUAUUGCUUGCCCCUCUGCUUGAGCCUUGAGUCUCUUUAUAUAGGGGUGAUAAACCGCCUCUCCAGCGAUAUUCUCGGAAGAUUUCCAUUUAUCUCGAAGUCGGCUUAGAAUAUCGCGGAAUAAGGAUAAUUUCCUUAUUCUUCGGAGUUUCUUGGAAGAUUUCCUGAUUUGAGUUGAUCCUUUGGGAUUCUUCCUUAUCAUUUUCGGGUCUAUCGAAAAUGAUCCUUCUUUUUCGGAAAUGACGACUCGCUUGGAAAUGGUACUUUGAAGACGAAUAUUUUACUAAGUCUUUGCCUCGGGUGACUUGUGCAAUCGGCUCGGGGACAGGAGAGGCAUGGCCCAGGCUCCCGAGGGAAAUCGGCUCGGGUCCACGGAAGGAGCCAGCUCGGGCGUCCUGGCACGAACCGGCUCGGAUUCCUGGAGUGAACCGGCUCGGGCGCUUGAAGAGAGUCGGCUCGGGUUCACAAGCUUGCUGACAGACCCCGAGCAGGCUAUGGGCGUUCCCCGAGGCAACCGGUGUAGUGACCCAAGGUGAAUGGCACUUUGCACCGAGGUGAAUGGCUCGCUUCCUACGAAAUAGUUGGUAUGCUUCCCCGAGGUGUCUUCAAAAGUUCCCUGAUGCGUCCAAAGUCCGGCUCAGUGCUAAAGGAUGAAAUCCAACCCCAACAGUUAGCCCCCCAGCUCGUUGAUUUGAGGAGCGAGCAAUGAGCUUUACGAUUGUUAGUCCGAGCCGUUUUAAACUUUGUUCCGAGCCCAUCCUUGUAUGCCGCGAAGUUUUUCCAUGUUUCAAAGAUGGUUCGUAUCCUUCGAUGAUUUUUAUUCUCUUUACGAUUCGAAUCCCCUUGACGUUUCGUCUUCUUCUAGCGUGUGACGGUUGAGUUUCCUUCUCGAGAAGCGGAAAGGUCUUUGAUGAUUCCCGAGGUUCGUGCGGACGCGAAGCAUCCUGAUAUUGCUCACGCGCACCCGACGUGCUCGAGACUUGGGCGGAUGCGAAAUAUUCUUCAACUCGGCCGUACCCGACGCGCCGAAGCAUUCUAUAAAUAUCCGACUCCCACUUCAUUUUCUCAUUUCGCGAUCUGCAAGGAAAAAUUCUAAGGUUCGCUUCUUUUCUCUCUGAUCUUGAUCUCUUUAAUUUCCUCUGCUUUGUUUUACUUUCCGUCGUUCCUCCGCCGUGCUAGAUCUUAGAUUUGGUUUUUCCGAUUUCAAAUCUUGUUUCUCCGAUUCUUUUCGAUUUACCCGAGCCGAAAGAUGUAACUUUCCGAUUUGAGCGAUUCAUCCCGAGGCAGAAACAUUCCUGUUCACGAAAGGAAGAUGGUUUGGAGCAGUCCCUCGGAAGGACCCGAGGCUAGUCUUUCAGAUCGCUCCGAGCCAAACGAAGAUAGCGCAACGGAAUCGUCAUCCAAAGGCCAAGAUUCGAGCCGAUUUGUGGCUCGGGAAGAUUCUUUUGCGAACGUGGCUCGGGAUGAAGAUUUUCCUGAUGACCCCGAGGCGACGUUAAACGAAAGGAAGAUGCGCCCUCCGGCUACGGAUGAAGCUGGGGGUUCUCGCUGGAAGGAUGUUCCCGAGCCGCCUUUGCUCCUAGUUAAGGCCGAAGCGAUCCAUUAUGACUCGGACGCGGAGGCAAGAAUGCUUCGGGCCAGGGUGCAAGCGGCCAAGGCUCAGCAGCAGAAGGUGAAACGAGCCAGAAAGGUGAAAAGGCCUGACCCUCCUGGUUCUACGCUAUCUACCGAGGACUCCCUUAGAUAUUUGAGAGCUCGGUUUGGUUUUAGUGAGGGAGUCACUAUGAGGCGUCCGACCCCGAGCGAACGAGCCGAUAAUCCUCCCGAGGGGUUCUUCACGUUGUACGAGGGGUUUUUCCAUUUUUGUUUCCUGUGGUUCCCUCUCCCGAGGCUAAUCGUGGAGUACUUGUGGUCGUAUAAGAUUGCGUUAGCUCAGAUCUCAACUCGUGGACUGCGGCAUCUUAUUGGGAUCUUAGUUAGGAGUUUUGAGGCGGAUAAAACCUUGUCCCUCGGGCAUUUAAGGAAUUUCCUGGAGGUUCGUCGUAGCCCGGGUCCUUUGGAAAGAUAUUACAUCUCGCCGAGCAAGAAUAAAAAGAUCAUUGGCGGGUUCCCGAGCAAGGAUGAGAAAUAUACUGAUCACUUCUUCUUCGUCGCGAAUGACGAGGACUCUGUCCCCGAGGGAUGCCUUGAUAAAAUUGUUGCGAAAUGGGGCAAAAUCGGUAGUUUACCCGAAGCGUUUGAAUUUCCUUUCUGUUGUGACUUGAUUGAUUUAUUCUAACCACUUUUGUUUUCGUUUGCAGAUCGUGAUCCGACGUUUCUCGAGCUCAUCCCCGAAGAUCUUUUGGAAACGCACGAAGAGUUGGCUUCCCGGAAGUGUCAUUGGACCAAGCACUUCAGACUUAAAAGGGUCGAAAAAGCGUUGAGGCUGCUUCGUGGUGUUUCUUGCUCUUCGUCAUCAUCCUCUUCGGAUCACCGAUUAAGCGGUUUCGUAGAGAUGUAGAAAGCAAAAAUGACGCUAAGGGAGAAGAAGGCUGCAGAGAGGGAAGCAGCCGAGCAGAGAAGAACCAUCGAGGCAAUUUUCAAACCUUUGCCCGAGGCGAUUGACGCGCCUGAGGGGUCUGGACGACCCGAGGUGUCUGGUCUGCCUGAGGCGUCAAACAGGCCCGAGGUGACAGAUGAUCCCGAAGGGUCAAGGAUCGGUUUAACUGUGACUUCGGUUCCUCCCGAAGCAUCCGAGGACGUCCUGGCUGGGACCGGUGGAGCUCGUGCUCCCGAGGUGGAAAGUACCGAGGUCGUGGUUGGGCUGGCCGCUGGUGGACAGGCUAAGUCCAAGGGGAAACGUUCUCGGGGCGAGCGUUCUACCGACAAGAGGAAGAGGUCGAAGAGCGAUCACAGUAGCUCUCGGCCGAUUUACAAGGACAAGGUGGCUUCGGCCAACCUUGUUGCUUCGUGUUCAUGGCCGCUGCUGACGGCCCCUGAUAAUUUGGCCGAGGCAGAACGAUACGCCGAGACUUCUGCCAACUUUCUAAAGGUAAAUGUUCUUUGAAUUUUUUGUUCCGAAAUACUUUGUUCUCAACGCGUUUUUGUUGUCUUAUCCCCAGGCUUUCUCCUCGAUGAACACACUGGUUCGUUCUUACGAGUCCACGAAUCGCCAUCACGAAGCUGCCAACGAGCAGUUUGAGAUAGCCCGCGUGGAAUCGGAGAGGAGAGUGGCCGAGGCGACUGCAGCGAGGGAAAAGGCCGAGGCCUUGGUCGCGGCUGAGCGAGAAGCGAGGCUGAAAGAGGCCGAGGAGAAUGCUCGAAUUCGGCAAAAAGCCGAAGCGGAGAUUGAGCGCCUCAACCGCUUGUUUGCCGAGGAGAAGUCCCUUUGGGAGGCCGAGGUUGCCCGAGCCAGGAAGGCUGCAAAAAGGGAGGUUACCGAAGAGUUCGCCAAGCAGAUCAAAACGAUCGAGGCGAAGCUGGAGCAGUUCUACUAGGUCGCUGAUCGAUACAUGUACUUCUCCCAGGCUAAGGCUAACACCGAGCUGAUUGCCGAGCUUGAGGAGGGCAAGACGAUCGAGGACGAGAAGAAAGAAGUGGAGGCAUGGAAAGAAGAGUUUGGGGAUGCCGAGGCGGAGUACUCUCAGCUCGCAGUCGAGCUGCUCGAAACUUUGAAGAUUCCUCCGGUGUCGCCUGACUCCGUUCAUGAUAGCCUUGGGAAUAGGUCGGUGGAAGGUGAAGUGAUCGAAGUUGGAGUUAUCUAUCAAGCGGGUACGAACCUAGGCUCCGAGGCUGUACUUGUUCGAGACGAGGAGCAGGACAAGUGAUCCCGAGGCGUCCUUUAUGUUUAGGACUUUAUUAUUUUUUUUGUAAAACUUAUGCCUGGAUGGCUUUAUCCAUUUAAUAUGAAUGCUCUUCCCAAGUGCCUGAUUUGUUAUUGUUUACCUUGAGAUGUUUCCGAACCAGAUCUGGUACCAGUGUUGAGUAACUGGGUUUUCGUAGAUCUGACUUGUUUAUUGGGAAGUUAGUCUUUUCCGAACCGUUUUGACUUCCGAGGUGAAAGUGCAAUGGAUCGUUCACCAGUGUUAAAAGAUAACUGGGUUCCGGUCAUGUGGACUAAUCUUUAUCGGUUGCGACCCGAGCUAAUAUAGUCGAAGCCAGUGCUUAGAAGCGAACUUGGGUACCAGUGUUGAAGUCAACUGGGUUUUCUGAAGACAAUUUCUUUGUGGCCAGAUAUCUCCGACCGAAUUGUCUCGAAUACUUAUAUAGCGCGCUGUAACCGAGGCGGUGAAAUGAGCUUUUUCUGUCCGAGGACGUGGCCAUCGUCCGAACAAACUUUUAGCUUUAUAGGUCGAUAAGAUGACCGUAAAAGUUUCCGAGGUGACUUUUAGGGUAGAUGUCGAGGUGGAUAAAAGUGAUAACCCGAAGGGUAAAAACUAGAAAAUUAGUUAAAAAAGUUCAGUGGGAGUAUAUGUAUACGGACCCACUCCCCCCUUUUUUAAUUAGGGGGGGUAGCUGAACUCGUCCGAGGACGAGCUGCCUACGUACCCUUUUCAGGGAUCAAGCCACCCCGUAGUUCGAGUACAUGCGUACCUUAGGUUUUUAGCGGUAAUAUUUCCUUAGAUGCAUUGCGUUCCAGGAUCUAGGUACCGCUUUGCCGUUCAUGUUGAUGAGUUUGUAGACGCCGGGACGGAUUACCUUUGCGAUCGUGUAAGGUCCCUCCCAAUUCGCGCCGAGCUUACCUGCGUUCUACUCGGCGGUAUUCUGGAAAACUUUGCGCAGUACGAGAUCUCCUUCGUGGAAACGGCGAUGCUUAACGUGAGAAUUGUAGUACCGAGCCGUUGCAUUCUGAUAGUUCUGCAUACGGAUCAAAGCCGAAUCUCUUCUUUCGUCAAUUAAGUCCAGCUCGUCCAGCAUCAUCUGAGUGUUGGAAUUUUCCUGCUCGGGGAGAAAACGUCUUCUUAGUCCUGGGAUCUCGGCUUUGGUGGGAAUCACACACUCCGCGAUGUAGACAAGGGCGAAUGGCGUUUCUCCCGUGGCCCGUCGCGGCGUGGUUCUGUGCGACCAUAGUACUCCUUCCAAUUCGUCGGCCCAGCGGCCUUUCUUCGCGUCGAGGCGCUUUUUUAUUCCGUCGAGAAUCGUCUUGUUUGCCGCUUUGGCUUGACCGUUUCCCUGAGGGUACCGAGGCGUAGACUUGCUGAGGCGAAUUCCCCAUUUCUCGCAGAAUCCUUCGAACCGAGCCGAAAUAAACUGUGAUCCGUUGUCUGUAACGAUCUCGUAAGGUAUCCCGUGGCGGCAUAUGAUGUUUUUCCAGACGAAGCUCUCGACCUGCGCGUCUUUGAUGCUGGCGUAGGAGUCCGCCUCGAUCCAUUUGGAGAAGUAGUCUGUCAGUACAAGGACGAGUUUCUUCUGCUUGGAGUUGUGUAGAGGUCCAAUGAUGUCCAUGGACCAUCGCAUGAACGGAUAAGGCGAAGUGAUGGAAGAGAGGAGCUAGGCGGGUUGAUGAAUGGUUGGUGCGUGCCUCUGGCAUUUGUCACACCGUUGAGAAAACUUCUCGUAGUCUUUGACCAUUGUCGGCCAAAAAUAUCUGUGGCGUUUGAUCUUUAUAGCUAGGGCUUUCCCGCCAGAAUGGUUUCCGCAAGAUCCGCCGUGUACUUCUUCCAUGACUCUCCGAGCUUCAUUUCCUUCGACACAGAUAAGGAGGGGACCGGAAAAUCGCCAUUUAAAGAGUUCUCCGUCGAUCAGAGUAUACCGAGCCGCUUUUGCCUUAAGCUUCCGAGCUGCCCAUUUUUCAGUAGGAACUUCUCCAUCGGCAAUGUAGCUUCGGAUGGCUCCGAUCCAUUUGGCGUCGCUUCCGUAUUCGGCCUCAGUUGCAUCCGUAGUUUGCUGGUUUAGCAGUUCGAUGUCCAUUUCUUCCGGUUCUUCUGUCUCCCGAGCUGUUAGAACUUGGUCAUUGUUAUUAUCUUCAAUGCUCGGCUUUUCAAUGAACUCAACCGGUAUGAUUCUCUUCUGAUUUGGGUCGGAGAUUGAAGCUAGAGCUGCUAAGGCAUCGGCCGAUGUGUUCUCACCUCGUGGGAUUCUGGUUAACUCGAACUAUCCGAACUGUCUUGCGUGAGAGCAAGAUACGCUUCCAUUCGUUCGUCGCGAGCCGCGUAUUCUCCAUUAAAUUGAUUAGCCACGAGCUGGGAGUCGCAAAAGGCUCGUAGCUUGUUGAUCUUAAGUCCCCGAGCCAGCUUAAGUCCUGCUAUCAGCGCUUCAUACUCAGCCACGUUGUUAGUCGCAUCGAAAUUUAGCCGAAAGGAUUGUUCGAGGAUUUCACCCUCUGGUGAUGCUAGGCGGAUUCCGACGCCAGAACCUUGUUUUGAGGAUGAGCCGUCGACGUGGAGGAUCCAAACAGCGUUGGGUGACUCUUCUCGGGCGUUCUCUGUUGGCAGCUCGAUGAUAAAAUCGGCCAGAACUUGAGAUUUCGCGCAUGUUUUGUUCCUGUAUUCGAUGUCAUACUCGCUGAGUUCUACUGCCCACUUGGCCAGGCGUCCCGAUUGGCUCGGACUGUGCAGGAUGGUUCGGAGUGAUACGGGCGCCAUGACGACAAUUGAGUGAGACUGGAAAUAUGGCCGUAGCUUCCGAGCUGACAUUACUACGGCGAGGGCGAGCUUUUCAGUUUGCGGGUAGCGUGUUUCCGCGUCGGUGAAAGUUUGCGAGACAUAAAAUAUCGGCUUCUGCUCCCCUCUGCCUUCCCUGACUAUGACUCCACUUAUCGCCGUGUCAGAGACUGCGAUGUACAGGAAUAAUGGCUCGCCUGGGACUGGUUUCGCCAACACCGGUGGAUUAACCAAAUACUUCUUCAGUUCCUGGAAAGCUUCUUCGCAGCGAUCGGUCCAUUCGAAUUUCUUGUUCCCGCGCAGAGUAUCGUAGAAAGCCAGGCAUUUGUCAGUGGACCGCGAGAUGAAUCGGUUCAAGGCUGCGACUCUCCCGGUGAGACGUUGGACUUCGCGCUUGUUCUGUGGUGAGGGCAUGUUCAGUAGAGCAUCGAUUUGCUUCGGGUUUGCCUCGAUGCCUCGGUGAGUUACGAGAUAUCCCACGAAUUCUCCCGACUUUACCGCGAAACGACAUUUUGCCGGGUUGAGCUUCAUGUUUUGCUUGUUGAGCUGGCGAAAACAGUCGCGUAGAUGGGCUAUGUGAUCGCUUUCUUCAAGGGAUUUGACUAACAUGUCGUCGAUAUAAACUUCCAUCGUCUUCCCGAGCUGCUCGGAGAACAUCCUGUUGACGAGCCGUUGAUACGUUGCGCCAGCAUUCUUGAGUCCGAAGGGCAUGACUUUGUAACAGUAGAUACCUCGGUCUGUGAUGAAUACUGUCUUCUCGCGAUCGUCGGGGUGCAUGAGAAUCUGAUUGUAUCCUGCGAAAGCAUCCAUGAAUGAUAGCAACUUAUUUCCCGCGGUUGCUUCCACUAAGCGAUCGAUAUGUGGGAGUGGAAAACUGUCUUAAGGGCAAGCUUUGUUCAGAUCGGUGAAAUCGACGCAGACUGUCCACUUGCCGUUCUUCUUUUUAACCACGACAGGAUUUGCUAACCAGUCCGGAUAUCUUGCUUCGGAGAUCGAGCCGAUCUUCAGGAGCUUUUCUACUUCGGCGUUCACGGCAUCUGCGCGAUCCCGACCCAAUUUUCUUCGCUUCUGCUUGAUGGGCUUGAAAGAUGGGUCAACAUUCAGCUCGUGGCAGAUUACGUCGAUGCUUACCCCAGGUAGAUCUUCAGCCGACCAGGCGAAGGUGUUGAUGUUCUCUUUGAGGAAUGAGAUGAGCUCGGUCUUGAUUUCCUCGGUUAAGUCGCUGCCAAUUUCCACGCAUCGUUCAGGCCGUUCGUCGUCGAGGCUAAUUGAGAUUACAGGAUCCGAGGUAGGCUUCUUCUCCUCGCGCGCCUCCUCGAUCUGUAAUUGCUAUAACUGUUUAGAUAUAGCCUUCUCUUCACUCCGGCCAAGUUUUGAUUUCUUGUGAUCGGUUUCAGCCUUCGCUUCAGUGACAGGGUUUCGGAGUUUGUGUGCUGCCAUGAAACACAUCCGAGAAUUUUUCUGACUGCCCCAGAUCGUUUUCACGCCAUUGGGGGUCGGGAAUUUGACACACAGAUGAUAUGUUGAUGCGAUAGCUCGCAUUAGAUUUAACCACGGAGUUCCCAUUAUAACGUUGUAGAUGGUAGGUUGAUCGGUGACUGAGAAGUUGACUAUCUUUGUUACCCCGCCGGCUCGGACUGGUAGUUGGAUGGUUCCAAGCGUCAUCAAAGUUUCCCCUGAAAAUCCGAGGACAGGCCUCGGGGUCGGAAUCACCUGUGACAUGUCGAUGUUCAUUUGUCGGAGCGUUUCGCGAAAGAUUACGUCGAUGGUGCUGCCGGUGUCAAUUAAUACUCGGUAGAUAUCAUGGUCUCCUAUCGCUAAUGUGACGACGAUUGGAUCGUUAUGAGGCAUGUCGAGCCCGUUUGUCUCGCUUUCUUCAAAUGUGAUCACGUCGUUAGGUCGAUCGAAGCGUCUUGUCCAGUUGCUAGGCGUCUCGGCUCGGCAUUGAUAAGCUUUGAUUGCCGCUACGGUGUCAGGACAGUAUGGCGAUCCACCCAUUAUGGUAAGAACCUUCUGCCGCGUACCAUCUCGGUCUUCGUCUUCCGACGCCCGGGUUCUUUUCUGAGACUCCUGGUUCCUUGGUUCGGGGUCUCUUCCCGAGUUGGUCUGCUCGGGCUCUGGCUCUGGCUCGAGAUCCUUAAGAGUGACGUUUGUCCCGAGCUCUCCAGCUAGGAAUUUGGUUGCUAACUUGGCUCCGAGGCUUCGGCAUCUCGAGGUAUGGUGGCCGAAAAUUUUGUGGUGUUCGCAAUAUUCUUGAUCAUUGCUCGGUGGCUGAUCCCUUGUCCAGGUGAAGGACUCUCUUCCUCGCCCACGGCCUCGGCCUCGGGGCGUGUCAAUCUGGUAGUUAUGGUAUCCUGAGAAAUUGCGCCCUUUGUGGUGCGUAUACGUACCGCUCUCACGCGUCUUCUUCUGGACCGGAGGUGUCGCUUGGGAUUUCUCGGUUUUCUCGGCUCGGGGCGCCUGUUUCGUUGGCUCAUGCCUCUUUGCUAGCAGCGCCAUCUCUUCUUCGUGGGCGACGAAAUCCGAGGCUCGAUGCAGCGCGUCGCGAAUUGUUGUCGGUUUAGACAGGUUCAACUCUUUCCUGAAUUCUGACUUGUACCAGAGUGCUUUCUUCAAAGCCGAAAGAGCGGCUACAUCUGUAAUUCCUUCGACCUUGGCUAGCGUCGAUUUGAAGGUUGUGAGGAAAUCUCUCAACGGUUCGGUGGGCUGUGUAGAUAGGGACCACAGAUCCGCGUCGGAGGUUCCGGGGUCGAUGAGGACGGAGUAUUGUUUGAGGAAUAGUGUCGACAGCUCGUCGAAACUGUCAAUCGAGUUUCGUUCCAGUCUAGAAAACCACUCUAAUGCGGGUCCUUUGAGGUGUUCCACGAACAGCAAGCAUAGACCUGCAUCCUUCUCCCCGGGCUUGAACCUGGCUCGGGCUACGAAUAUCACGAAAGAUUUAAUGUGACACUUUGGGUCGGCUGAUCUGUUGUAGGAGUCGAUUUUGAACUUCCCCAGAUUGGACAUCGUCGUUUCAGAAAUUCUUUUGGUGAAGGGCGUAUUCCGAGAUUCUUCUAAAAUUCGGUCGAUGUUUGGUGCAGAGGAUGAAACGCUAUGUAUCUGGGUUUUGACGAGCUUCAUAUCAGCUUCCGCCUUGGCUAGGGAGGCUCGGAUCUUGCUGAGCUCGUCCUCCCUUUCGGAUUCUUCGGCCCAUAUUAUGUUCUCCUCAGUUUCUUCAUCGUCAGUGAGAUCUGUUCGCUCGGCGGAGUUAGCUCCGGCUCGGGUACGCUCAUCUUGCAGAUCAUCUGGCUCGUCCGUCAAGUCCACUGCGUCUGGCUCGGUGGGAUCAUCUUGGUUCUCGCGUCUGGCAGGGUCGGCUCGGGUUGCGACUCUGGUGUUGUCGGUUGGCGUCGCGAACGUGAGUCUUGUUGGGUUGAUGCCAGGCAAGUCCCUCCGAGCUCGUGGCGGCCGAGUCUGGAAAUGCGUGGUUUUUUGUUGCCCACGUGUUGCGAUUUCGUCGACUCGCUGCGCCAAGGUUUUGUUAGCUUUCUCUUGGUCGUCAACUUUCUUCUGGAAUUUAACCAUUAGAUCUUUCAGUUCGGCUAGAGUCGCUAUGAUCGUCGGAUCGGCUUGAGGAUUCUGAGGGUUCGGAGGGUUAGGGUUCCCUCCUCCGGCUGGUGGUGUCUGACGACCGUCUUCGUUCAUCGUCCUUUUCGGUAAUCGAGUUCUGCGUCUUAGGGUAAGAGAAUUCUAAAGUGUCCCCACAGACGGCGCCAAACUGUGGAAGUCGAAACUAACACAAUCGAGAUUUGUCUAGGGUUUUAAUUUAGGGAUACGAUAAAUGUGAAUUCUCAAAGAACAACAGAAACAAUUGUAACCAAAGAUGGUGUUCUUGAUCUUAUUGAUGAAAAGAGUAGUUUUGAUCGUACAAGAGUUUGAUCGUAAAAGAAAAAGAUGUUUGUGCUGUGAGAGCUUUGCGUAGUGUAAAUCCUAGAGCGAUAUUGCUUACCCCUCCGCUUGAGCCUUGAGUCUCUUUAUAUAGGGGUGAUAAACCGCCUCUCCAGCGAUAUUCUCGGAAGAUUUCCAUUUAUCUCGAAGUCGGCUUAGAAUAUCGCGGAAUAAGGAUAAUUUCCUUAUUCUUCGGAGUUUCUUGGAAGAUUUCCUGAUUUGAGUUGAUCCUUUGGGGUUCUUCCUUAUCAUUUCCGGGUCUAUCGAAAAUGAUCCUUCUUUUUCGGAAAUGACGACUCGCUUGGAAAUGGUACUUUGAAGACGAAUAUUUUACUAAGUCUUUGCCUCGGGUGACUUGUGCAAUCGGCUCGGGGACAGGAGAGGCACGGCCCGGGCUCCCAAGGGAAAUCGGCUCGGGUCCACGGAAGGAGCCAGCUCGGGCGUCCUAGCACGAACCGGCUCGGAUUCCUAGAGUGAACCGGCUCGGGCGCUUGAAGAGAGCCGGCUCGGGUUCACAAGCUUGCUGACAGACCCCGAGCAGGCUAUGGGCGUUCCCCGAGGCAACCGGUGCAGUGACCCGAGGUGAAUGGCACUUUGCACCGAGGUGAAUGGCUCGCUUCCUACGAAAUAGUUGGUAUGCUUCCCCGAGGUGUCUUCAGAAGUUCCCUGAGGCGUCCAAAGUCCGGCUCGGUGCUAAAGGAUGAAAUCCAACCCCAACAGAGAUUUGGAGAUAAAUCAACAUUGAUUGAUGUUCUUGCAGUCAAUGACACGACAGUCAAGUUUCGGGUACGGAAUGAGGCAAUGCGGAGAAGAUUGCUGAACCGUGGCAUGUGGAAUAUCAUGAAUGUUCCAAUGCUAAUAACGAAAUGGACACCGUUUUCUGAAGAGGCACAACCGGCAAUGAAGUCUAUCCCAUUGUGGGUUACUUUAAAAAAUGUUCCGCUAACCAUGUACACGGACAAGGGGUUAGAUUUUCUGGCUAGUGCGGUAGGACAACCAAUUAGGCUACACCCAAAAACAGAAGCAUGUGAAAGUUUUGAGGUUGCUCAAGUACUGGUUGAAGCAGACCUAACAAAAGAUUUGCCUCAUGAAUACAACCUAACGGGAGAGGAGGAAGGAGAGUUGGAUGUCACAGUCAAAUACUCAUACCCUUGGCUUCCUCCACGAUGCAGAAGCUGUAAGAAAUGGGGACAUGUGACUAACGCUUGUCUUGCAUCAGUGCGAGAAACAAUACAGUCACAUGAAAUUUCAGUCUCAACACCAAAAGCGGUUUCAGCAAAUGAUACGAGCUCCGGAAUAAACAAAGAGGGAGAGGGUCAGGAACAAAAACAACAGACAGAAGUUGUAGCUGCAGAGAAUCAGACCAAUGAGGGCUGGAUAACUCCACAGAAAUCCAGUCGUAGCCCGCCAAAAAAGCCAGAGGAUCUGAAAUAUGGGGAAGUAUACAUAUUGUCAAAUUCCUAUUCAGCUCUCAGCGGAAAAUGUGAGGAUGGAGAUGAUAAUACUGAAAAAACAGCAAUAAAGAUGACGAGGAAGCAGACCCGUCGGUUGAAACUGAACAUGCUGCAGAAAACAAGCAUGAUGAAGCUGAAGCUGAAGCUGAAAACACACCCAAAGUUAUUGGAAAAACAGUGAAACAGAACAGUACCUCGAUCAAAGAGACUCUGCCAUUGCGACAGUCUCUUCCUCGAGAAUCAAAAGGAGCACAUAAGUUCAUCACCAACCCAUCUUCUCAACCCGCUCGGAAUCUCUCUAGAGACCCGAGUAAGAAGAACCAAAAACAUCAUUAAUGUCGAGUUUCUUCUGGAAUGUUCGGGGUUUCAACAAAACAUUUAAACAUUCCGUUGUAAAGGAUUGGGUAUAUAAAGACGGGUUACAGUUUGGUUGUUUACUUGAGACAAGGGUAAGAGAAAGAAAGGCAGAGGGUCUGGUUAAUGCAGUGUUUCCAGACUGGUCGUUUCUAUCAAAUUACAGUUUCAACAGGUUGGGAAGAAUAUGGGUGGUCUGGAGUCCGAAAGUGAGGCUAACACCUUGCUUUACUAGCGGUCAAAUGAUCACUUGUUCUGUGCUUAUGGAAGGUGCGACAGAAGAAUUCUUUUGCUCCUUCAUUUACGCCUCAAACCUUGUAGACGAAAGGAAAACAUUAUGGGAGGAUUUGCGAAGUCAUCAGGACUCUCCUCUGUUUCGAAACAAACCCUGGAUGAUUUAUGGUGAUUUUAAUGAAAUUCUAAAGGGAGAUGAGCACUCUCUGUAUGAUGUCAAUCCCACAAUUCAAGUGGGAAUGCGUGAUUUUCAAGAUCUGGUACGAUAUUGUUCUUUGAGUGAUAUGAACUCACAAGGGCCGUGUUUCACUUGGUGUAAUAAAAGAGAAAGAGAUGGUGAGCUGAUCUGCAAAAAACUGGACAGAGUCUUGGUGAACAAUAAUUGGAUUGCGGAUUAUCAACAAUCCUACAGUGUGUUUGAAGCCGGUGGCUGUAAGGAUCAUUUACGGUGUCGAAUAAAGAUUCAACUCGAUAAGCCUCGCAUUCGUAAGCCUUUUAAGUUUACAAAUGCGUUGACGUCUGAUCCAGAUUUCUUGCCCAUGAUGAAAGAUUAUUGGGAUUCCACGGAUACCCUUUUUCACUCCACAUCUGCGCUAUAUCGACUCUCAAAAAAGCUAAAAGCUUUGAAAGGAAAGAUCAGAAUAAUGAGUAAGAACAAGUUUGGCUUACUGACAAAGAAAACAAAGGAGGCAUAUGCCGAGCUUUGUAGCUGUCAGCAAGAAACACUUCAAAACCCAACAGUUUUGGCAAUUCAGAAAGAAUCACGAGCUUACCACCGCUGGCUUCAUCUUUCAGAACUGGAGGAAAAGUUUCUAAAGCAGAAAUCCAAAUUACAUUGGUUAAAAGUUGGAGAUGGAAACAACAAAGUUUUUUUUAAAACUGCAAAGCUUAGGGAGGUGAGAAAUGCAAUAAAAGAGAUAAAAUGUGCAGACGGAUCGAUAGUGGAUUCUCAGGAGGAUAUGAAACUAGAGGCUGCAAGGUUCUUUCAAGAGUUUCUUGCAUAUAAGCCGGACCAUUAUCAGGGAAAAACGAAGGAGGAGCUGCAGGAUCUUCUGAAAUUUCAGUGUACAGAGGAGGUUUGUUCAAAACUGACCAGUGAAGUAACUACAUAUGAGAUAAGAAAAGUCUUAUUCUCAAUGCCGAGCAACAAAAGCCCGGGCCCUGAUGGAUAUACGGUAGAAUUCUUCAAAGAAACUUGGCCAAUUGUUGAAAAAGAUUUUGUAGUGGCUAUACAAUCUUUUUUCAUCAAAGGGUUUAUACCGAAAGGAAUGAAUGCCACCAUUCUCGCAUUGAUACCAAAGAAGAAAGAGGUAAGAGAGAUGAAAGAUUAUCGCCCCAUAUCCUGCUGCAACGUUAUUUACAAAGUAAUCUCUAAGAUCAUCGCAAAUAGACUCAAAACCAUCCUACCGCAAUUCAUCUCGCCAAAUCAAUCUGCAUUUGUCAAGGACCGUCUUCUAAUGGAAAAUGUCUUGUUGGCAUCAGAAAUAAUAAAGGAUUAUCACAAAGACACGGUAUCAGCUCGAAGUGCCAUAAAGAUAGACAUAUCCAAAGCUUUCGACUCGGUACAGUGGCCUUUCCUUCUCAACGUCUUGUCAGCUCUAAACAUUCCGCAGCAAUUCAUUCAAUGGGUUGAACUUUGUGUUACAACAGCCUCCUUCUCGGUGCAAGUUAAUGGAGAAUUAUCUGGUUUGUUUCGAAGUACACGAGGCCUAAGACAAGGAUGUUCACUUUCUCCUUACCUUUUUGUCAUAUGUAUGAAUGUUCUAUCAAAGAUGCUCGACAAGGCUGCUUUGGAAAGGAAGAUAGGGUUCCAUCCACGAUGCAAAAAUCUCAAGUUAACACAUUUGUGUUUUGCGGAUGACCUGCUUGUGUUUACAGAUGGGAAAAAAAGAUCUAUAGAAGGAAUCCUCCAGUUAUUCACGAAGUUUGCAGAGUUCGCUGGCCUGAAGAUAAGCCUAGAAAAAUCAACAUUGUACAUGGCAGGGAUAGAUGAAAGGGAUAAGGAAAUGAUCCUUCAAAGCUUUCCUUUCGACUCCGGACAACUACCCGUUAGAUAUCUCGGACUCCCUUUGCUAUCUAAGAGAAUGACAACUUCAGACUAUUCUCCACUCAUUGAAAAAAUAAGGGACCGGAUUGGUUCCUGGACUGCUCGGCACCUCUCCUUUGCAGGGCGACUGCAGCUCAUAAGUUCAGUCAUUCAGAGCCUCACCAACUUUUGGAUUUCUGCGUUUAGACUCCCAAGUGCUUGCAUAUCAGAAAUUGACCGGCUUUGUUCAGCAUUCUUGUGGUCCGGACCUGCUCUAAACCCAAAGAAAGCCAAAGUGGCAUGGAGAGAUGUAUGUUUACCUAGAGAAGAAGGCGGUCUAGGUCUAAGAUCAAUACAUGAAGCAAAUAAAGUCAGCUGUUUAAAACUGAUUUGGAGAAUAACCUCCUCCGACUCUUUAUGGGCACAAUGGAUAAAGCUAUAUCUAAUACGGAAAGGUUCCUUCUGGUCACUUAAGGAAAAAACAUCAAUGGGGUCUUGGAUGUGGAGAAAACUCCUCAAAUACAAGGAGCUUGCUGCAAGUUUUACUAAAAUAGAGGUGAUGAAUGGAAGAGAAACUUCUUUUUGGUAUGAUAAUUGGUCACAAAUGGGGAGGCUUAUUGAUUACACGGGUCAGAGAGGAUGUAUUGAUAUGGGGAUAACAAUUCAGUCCUCACUAGCAGAGGUGAUUGCAACACAUAAAAGAAGAAGGCACAGAGUUGAAAAUCUCAACAAAAUAGAGGCAGAGAUUGAUGCAAUUAAAACAAAGGGGCUGACACACGAAAGAGAUGUAGUGCUAUGGAAAGGCAAAGGAGAUCGAUACAAGACCAAAUUCAGUACUAAUGAGACAUGGGACGCAAUUCGGGAAGCUAGGCCAUGUAUGGAAUGGUGCGAGGGUAUUUGGUUCCUCCAUGCCACACCCAAACACUCUUUCAUAUCAUGGCUUGCAAUAAAGAAUCGCUUAGCAACUGGAGACAGAAUGCUAACUUGGCAAAAUGGAGUAGACCCGUCUUGUGUUUUCUGCACUCAACAAAUUGAAGACAGAGACCACCUCUUCUUUAAGUGUUGCUAUGCUGAAGAAAUCUGGUCUGGUUUGAGCCGUAAGAUACUUGGACAGAAAUUCACCACAUCGUGGAGUGAUGUUCUCAGGAUCCUCACAGACAAGUCGUUGCGCAGAGUUGACCUAUUCCUGGUACGGUACACUUUUCAGCUAGCCAUAUACUCAAUAUGGAGAGAAAGGAACAGUCGGAGGCAUGGAGAAACACCAAUACCACCACUACAGCUGCUUCAAACUCUUGACAAACAAGUUCGGAACAGGAUCUCCUCGAUUCGAAAACAAGGAGAUAGGAGGUACGACGGAUGCAUGGAAGCUUGGUUCGCUUCGAGAUAAACACUACAAGGGAAUAGUUUGUAAUUUUAUUUGAUCACUUAUUAACCAAACGAUGCACUUGAUGUAAAAACGUUUUUUUCGAAUAAAUUUUACAUUUUAUUCAAAAAAAAAAAAAAAAAAAAAAAAAAAAGAGAUUGCAAGGAAUACUGAGGGAAUUUAUUUGACACAAAGAAAAUAUACGUUGGAUAUUAUUUCUGAAACUGGUCUUAUGGGUGCCAAGCCGGUCAAUUUUCCUUUGGACCAAAAUCAUAAAUUAGCGGUAUCAAAGAAUGAACUUCUUACGGAUCCAGAACGGUAUAGGAGGUUGGUUGGAAGGUUGAUAUAUUUGGCUGUUACGCGUCCGGACCUUGCAUAUUGUGUCCAUAUCUUGUCACAAUUUAUGCAGGUUCCGCGCCAGGACCAUUGGGAUGCGGCUUUGAGAGUCGUUCGUUAUUUAAAAGGUACUGCAGGCCAAGGCAUCCUUCUUAGUUCUGAUUGUGACUUACAUGUUCGUGGAUGGUGUGACUCAGAUUGGGAAGGAUGCCCUCUUACUCGGCGUUCUUUGACGGGUUGGUUUAUUCAGUUGGGAGCUUCUCCGAUUUCAUGGUGUACAAAGAAGCAUGAUCGGGUCUCCAUGUCUUCGGCUGAAGCGGAAUAUAGAGCCAUGGGAGAUACUACUAAGGAGUUGCUCUGGAUAAAGGCAUGCUUGCGAGAUUUUGGAGUUAUGCAUUCGUCACCUAUGUCUCUAUUUUGUGACAAUGAAGCUGCUCUUCAUAUUGCGGCUAAUCCCGUUUUCCAUGAACGGACUAAACAUGUUGAAUCCGAUUGUCAUUUUAUACGAGACGAGAUAGUGGCAGGAGUGAUAGCUACUCAACAUGUUCCUACUGAGGGUCAGCUUGCCGAUAUUUUUACCAAAGCAUUGGGAGCUCGUGAAUUUUUGGCAUUUCAAGACAAGUUGGGCAUUCUUAAUCUUCAUGCUCCAACUUGAGGGGGGGUAUUGGUGUAUAUAUUAGCUUGUCCUUAAUCGUCUUUUACUUGUAUCAUUAGGUUAGCUAAUUAGGUCAUAAUUCCCUUGUAUAAAUGGUGCCUCUUUGGCCUAUGUGAAUAAUAACAGAGAAUUCUAUUCAAUCACGUUUCUCUGACAUGGAUCCUAGAAAAACAUGGUGAAAGCUCUUAGAUAUAUAUGGUUUUCAAAGUGGUAAGUAAAUAUUAGCCAAGCAGCAAGCGUUGAACUUGGCUGAUAUUUACUUACCACUUUGAUGUAAAACCAUAUAUAUCUUAGAGCCUUCACUAUGUUUUUCUAGUGGUUCUAGUAAAUAUCAGCCAAGCAGCAAGCGUUGAAACAAACCAGAGGUGGUGAGCUAGUGGUUCUAGUCUUGUGGAAGAGUGGCCCUGUUGGUAUAGGCCAGGGAUCGAUUCUCCCCAGACGCAUAAUUGCUUAGUUUAUCUCUUUAGCCACAUGAGUAUGGGCCCAUUGUUUACGGCCCAUUUGAAAACUUGGGAGGGACCCUACCCGUGGGAUACCCUCUCCCCAUGGAUUAGUCCUAGACCCCUCCAUAGGUAUAGGAAUUUACCCUUAAGUUAAAAAAAAAAAAAAAAGCAAGCGUUGAAACAUCACAAAUCAAAAUGUUUCAACCUAAAGAAAAUAUUCCACGCAAAUCCCAAGCGAUUUGCAAACCUAAAGCCAAACUCAUAACAAACAAAAAGAUCAUACCAAGAACCUCAACUCAUAUACAUGGGUUUGAAAAAAGGGGCUAAGCUUCUUGAAUAGUGGAUACUUCAAGGACUGCCUGCCCCAGUCCCCCUGUAAUAUAUCGUUUCAACUAGGAUCUUCCUAUACUUUCAUCCUCUACCUAUAUAUUCUCCCCUAUACACACUAUACUCUUCACAAUUCCACCCAAUUUUAUACAAUUCCAUCCAAUUCACCAAAAUCAAUUAUGUUGCCUAAAUGCGUUUUAAAAUCAUAAAAUAGUAUUUUAAAAUUGAUUUCUCUGCCAAUUUGUGCCUCAUCUUCGAAAUUGGUUACUCUCACUCGCAUUCUCUGAUUCAUUACCCCUAUUGUGCUCUACAUCAUCGUCACUACAAUUGUACAAAAUAAAACAUCAUCGUCAUACAUUUCUUUCUCACUAUCAUUAACAAAUUCAAACAAUUUCGGACGAAUUCAAACAAAUCCAACUACGAUAACAGGUUCUUUAAAAGAAAUAUCAUAACUUUCGACCCAACCAUGCUUCGGAUUCUCUAGAGACGACGAUCCAAUCAACACCAGAGACAACGAAACAGAAGCAGAACAAGAAGAAUAACAAAAAGAAUUGGACAAUCUAAAGAGAUGAAGCAAAAUCCGAAGUAGAAGUUGAAGAAAGAGUGUCGGUAUCGAUGGAGAAGAAGAAGAACUCCAAAUCCUAACUAAAAAUUUUUCCCCCUUUUGAUUUUUAAGUCAAAUCGAACCCUUUCUAUCAAACAGAAGGUUCAAUUCUGGUUAUGAAACAUGGAUCAGAUUACCGGUUUAAUCGCAGAUUAUCAAUUGUAAAACGCAAUUUUAUGAUUUUAAAAUGCAUUUAGGCAGCAUAAUUGAUUUUGGUGAAUUGGGUGGAAUUGUAUAAAAUUGGGUGGAAUUGUGAAGAGUAUAAUGUGUAUAGAGGGAAAUAGGUAGAGGAUGAAAAUAUCGAAGGAACUUAGUUGAAACGAUAUAUUACAGGGGGACUGGGGCAGGCAACCCAUACUUCAAUGAGCUCCCACAAAAUCUUGAACAUUGAGUUUUCAAAAGAACAUGCAGCACCAUCCUAAUAUUUCAAAUAUAUAAUUUCAUGGAAGAUAUUCUCAAAAUCAUUUUGAGAUCAACCUCUAACUUUAGUGUAUAAAUGUAACCGGUAUACACCACAUCCUAGGUAUUAUCACGGUUUUAACUACGCUCAUGUUUAUCUACUUUUCAAAGUAACCUAUCCUCAAAACACGAGUUCAAAACUUCAAAAAACAUCUUAAAUUUUUGAGCAAUAUAAAUUCUUAAAUUUACACACACACACAUAUAUAUUAUCAAAAGUUAUUUGAAGUAUAAAAUUUGAUAUAAUACAAAAAGAUUAGCACACAAAAAACUUUCAUUAAAGAUAGAACAUAUUAACAUUUAUUUUGAACACUUAAAGAUUAUUAUAUCAUAUGAUCAAUCCAAAUAUAUCGAAGUAAACCAAGUAAUACUUUUGAAAAUUGGUUUCUUCUUUCCAUAUGAUAUAUACUUCAAAACUUAAAAUUUGAUGUAUUAUACCGAAUUAAUUGUUUAAUUAAUUGGGGUUCUAUCUUCUAACUAAUAUGCAAUAUAAGCCAAAAUAUUGUGGAGGAUCAGUAGAGGUGAGUCAACAUAUUAAUAUAUCAAUUCCCUUCUCUUUGCUUCACCUUGUUAUCAUACAACAUAAUAUUUCUUUGAUUUUGACAUUUUCCUAUAUAGCUGCACUCACAAUCAAUAUUUAUAGAUCAAAUAUAUAUAAUAUAUAAUUAUUUAGUUAUUAUAUACAAUAUGAAUUUUCAAUUACAACAUGAUAUUUAAUAAUAUGAAGAUGUUGGAUGCUUCUGUUUGGAAUGUCCUUGGUAUUGGAAUAUAUCCGAUACGAUUGGAGUAUUAUUGUCUUUAAAUAUGCUCAUAUGUAUAUUUGCAUGUGCAAUGUGGGAUGUGUAAUCUAGUUUAAUGAAUUAAAUUUAGUAUCUAUAACAUGGUACGUAUGAUUUACACAUAUAUAGUCAUAAACUAUUCAAUUAAAGAAAAACAAAAAUUCCCCGAAUAAAUCUAUAGGAUAUAUUCAAGUGGAUGUUUUAUCUUCCUUUAUAUAUAUGUAGCCAGAAAAAAGUACGAUUUUUAUUUUUAAAUACCGGACAUGAUAUCAUAUAUGGUACUACUUGAACAGAGACCCACCUAAUCAUAGUUAUAUUUUAGUCUUUACUUAUACAUAUAUUUUAAUUAUAUAAACUUUAUUAAUCAGAUAUAUGACCAAUAGUUCCAAACAAUAAUUGCUUUUGUUUAUAACAAAUAUGCAAUAACAAGUUUGAGUAUGGAUAUUAACAAUACUUUAAUCCCAUAGGUAAGUUGUACAAAUAUUUUAGUUGUAAAUUAGAACGGUAAGUUUUUACGGAAUAGUUCAAAACUGUAAAAAAAAAUGAUACAUAAAAGCUAUAUAAAAAGCUGAGAGUAACGUUUUUGGUAACAUUUUUAGUAAUGUUUUUAUGAUUUGUAACUGUUGAAACGGUAGAAAGUUACCAAUCAAAGCCAUAUAACAUGAACUAUAUAUUAUGUUAUAUAUUUUUGGUUCCAAAUUCAAAAAUAAUUUUACAUAUACUUUUAAUUAUAAUAAAUCUAUGUACACGUAUAUAAACUAUUAACAACUCAAAUAUAAAAUAUCUCAUUAGUUUAGGCAUAGAUCCAUACAUUUACAUAUACAACUUUUCAAAGUAAAAAAUCUAUAAUAUAAUUAUUAAGUUUGAAGAAGACAUGUAGCCUAAUGAUUUAUUAAAACACCGUCAUUGCGUAUAAACAUUUUUUUUUUUUUGAUAAAAACAAACAUUAUUUUAAAUAUCGUAAAAUCAGGAUAUCUGUAUUUAUAUUUUUUUAAAUGGAUAUCUGUUAACAUGUCUCGGUGGACAGCUGAAUUUGAUUUAUCUGAAAAUUCAGACAUGGAAAAUUAGAGAGCUAGCUUUCGAAAGUUAAACACUUUAUUUGGAACAACAUUUUAGGUUAUAUGGUAGUAAAUUAUAGAUUAAGAUAGAUCGUGAGAGCGAAAAAAAAAAAAAAAAAAGAUAGAUCGUGAGAUGUAUUACGAUAUCUUUUGUCCCGUUAUGGGGCAGUGCGAGAGACGAUUUAUCUCCUAUACCUUUGAUCUUGAAAGUGUUCCCAUGUCGGUUUAUGAGAACAUGAAUUUCAUAUUAUGGUGUCGACCGAAGCAUGACGGAUAUCAGAACAAGAGGCUGAGACAUUCCUUUAGAUUUUUAAUACAGCAUAAAUGCAAGUAGGUCUUUUUGAAGUUUAGCUAGUGAAGAUUUUGUAUACACUAAAUGGUGGGUGAUGUCUAGCUAUGGUCAGAUUGGUGUUUUUUUUUUUCCAAAGUUUCUACCAUUUUUUAACCAUUCAACCGCAUUUCAUCCUUUAGCCAUUUCGUUUAAUCCGCCUUCUUCAUUCGAAACCAUUAGUCAACAAAAUAGCAAACUUACUUUCUUUUAUUAUAUAAAACACAAACUCUAACCAAAUCCAAACUUAAAAAGCUCACUAAAGAUAUAUUAUAUAUUGAUUAUGAAAACAACAAGCGAAGAUAACAAAAUUAUCACCUAAUUAAGUUAUACAAUAAUAAGAUAUUAUCAACCUCUUCCAAAUGGAUGAUUUUGCUCAGGAAACUUCACUUCACCAUCCAAAGAAACUCCGCCACGACCACUGCCGCGGCCACCACCACCACCGCGAUUUACAUUUCUCACCAUUCCUCCAACUCCAAGAAAAUCUAACGUUAACUUAUCCGAGCCGCUCAUAUUUCCAUUGUCUCCAAAUUGAACGUCGAAGAUACUGCCACCGGAUCCUCCACCGCCAUUAACGGCCGCUAAUGAGUUCAUUAGACCUUGAAGGUUUCCAUUAUUAUCAUUCUCCAUAAUUCGUCCUCCACCAAAGUGAUUAGCGAUAACACUUGAUGAAUUAGACGAAGAAGCUAAGCCUCUGAACAAAGCAGAAGGAUCGUUGCUUGUGACUGAACCCAUUUGUGUAGCUUUCUGAAGUAGUGCCGUAGCUGACACGUUAGAACCCGUGUUCAAGUUUUCUUCACGGUGAUGAACCAGAACGUCGGUGCUAUAUAGAGAAGGAAAAGUCGUCUCCGAGUUCUUGGUGUUUUCUUGAAAGAAUCCGAGGUUGAAGAAGCUGUUGUUGGUGUUGCUAUUCUUGAGGUUGAUGUUGUCCACUGGAUCAAACUGUAUCAGACCAUGCUGGUUCAUGAAACUCUGAUCAUUGUUGUUUGGCAUUGUAGUCGACAUUCCUUGGCUCGAAGCGCAUUGGAUUAGGAAGUUAGGGUUUGACGAUUGCGGAAGAAAGUCUCUCCUAUUUUCAGAAGUUGCAAUGUUCAGAUUGUAACCCGCGAGAGGGGAAAAUCCAGAACUCGGAUGGUCACUUAAAUGGUGGUGUGAGAGAGCGCUGCCACCACCAAGUCUCCCGUAGAUUCCCCCAGAGCCGACACCGCUACUAGCAGCUGCCAUUGACGUAAAGCUCACGGUAGGGUUUCUUGCAGUCUCUUGUAUCAAUGCAUCGCAGAAAGCCCUAUGUGUGAUGUAACUAUCACGUCUACAAAGCAAAAAAUAAAAAUGUAAAUAAGACAACGGUCGAUAAAUAAAGCUAUUAAUUCAUAUAUAUAAACUUUAUAUUAUGUAAUAAUUCCGUGAGUCAUAAUCAAUAAAUGCUAUAGUUAUUGUGGCUACCAUAUAUAGGAGAGAAUGUUAGAAGAAUAUAGAGGUCGAGUCAAUUGCUAAUUUAGUGAAAGACCUUCUUCAUUUAAUGCAAAACCCAUGAAUGUUAAUAUAAGUCAGUCACAUUCUGCAACAACGUAUAUUACUCAAACCAUGAAAAUAUAGAAAGAAACCCUAGAAGAGCAUUAAAGUGUUCACCAGAACACUGUAAUAAAUAUAAGUAACGCACUCUUACCAAAUAUGUAUGUAUAUAUUACAUACAUAGAGAGAGAUAGAGAUAAGAAGAGGGUCCACAAAUGAAGAGGAGUUUCGUAAAAAGGGGAACCUGCAAAGUGAAGAAGAAGAAAACAAAAGUAGAAAAUAGAAAAACAAAAUCCAACUCAUACAUGUGACCAAAUUUAGCAUCUUUUAAAUUUUCUUACUUUCUAUUCACUGUCUUUCUCUAUUCACUACUCAUCAACAACCAAACAAAUACAUUGAUAGAUCCUAUGUACAUAAUGACUAUAUACAUUUUAUAAGCGGUGUACUCGAGGUUCAAACUCCGUGGCCAAAUAUACAAUUUUUCAAUCACAGAUGAUUAUAUAUAUUUGGUAUUUUCCAUGUAAAUUAGUAAAUAAGCUAAGUUUUACAUGCAGUGUUGAAUGCAGCUUUUACUUAGAAUAGAUUUUCAAUAUAAUACAAAAUAACGGUGGUCCAUUGUUAUACUUUACCAAGAUAAGAAGGUAUAUCUUGAUACCACACACACUGACACAUAUAUUAUACGUUUCAUCACUUAAACCAAAUACGAACAAAUUAUUUAAAUGAAAUGGAUAGAGAUUAGUUACCUAGAGAAGAUGGUACCACAGUCACAUCGAUACUCCUUAGUUCCACAAGUCUUAGAGUGAGCCUUCCAAUCUGACUGAACAGCGUAACGCUUAGAACAUUUCUCGCAUUUCCACUUCUUUUCGCCAUGUUUACGGUAAUAAUGCUUCUUGAUUCCGGUGAGGUCUCCGAGAGCACGUGAUGGGUCAUGGUGAACGCACGUGGGCUCCGGACAAAGAUAUACUUUCCUCUUCACUUCUUUGGUUGACUUCUGUUUCAGCUUCCAUGGGAGGUUGUGUCCUCUUCGGUGAAGCUGUAGAUUUUGUUCUCUUUGAAACCCUUUGUUGCAUACAUCACAUAUGAAUCUGUUUGUAGCCAUUAGUGUCUUUGGAGAUAAUGCUACCACUUCCGCAUCAGGAUCUAUUUCAAUCAAUAAAAGACUUUAACCAAUUAAAUUUAGUCACCAAUCGGAUCCGAAAUGUCAAUCUAUGUAGACUAUAUCGAGAAAAUGUUACACACAAUUACAAACAUGUACAUAGACUGUCAAUAUAGAUGAUGAAAUCUUGAUACUAUAUUUACAAAAAAAAAGAGAACAAAAGAUUAGGGUUCUUCUAUUUGUUUUCUUGGAUUUAUCUUAAAGCUUAUAGUGAUUCUUAUAGAAAUUUAUUAGUGAUGAAUCCCAUAAAUAUAUAUAAAAGAGAGAGAUUUAUGUGUAAGAGGUACUUGCUUGGGUUUCCGGGUUGGUUUCUUCGUUUCUUGGGUGGUGGAGCUGAGGAGUUAGGUUGUUGAAUCAUUGACAUAAAAGUAUCUUUCCGGUUAAAGUCGUUAUCUCCGGUGCCGGAGCUGGUGAUGAAGAAAGGCUGAGCAGAGGAUGAUGAUGAAGGAAUAACGCUUGUGUUAUAUGAUGAUGACGACAUCUUUAGAUCUUCUUCUUUGCGUGGAAGAGAAUAAUCUACAAAUAAUUCAUAAGAAAAAAAAGUUAGAAAAAAAAGAUAGUGAAAGAAAUCAACUAAUCUUUUGAUAAGAAAACGAAGGGAGGAAUUAUAAGAACAGGAAAAAUCCAUAGAGAUUGACGACAUGAAGAAUUUUUAUAAAAACAAUUCACUAGAAGACAUAAACAAAGAAAAACAAAUUAAGAGUUUAUACUUUUGUUUUUUGUUCCUAAACUUUUGAAAGAAUUAAGAGGAAAGAUUUCUGAGUUGUUUUUUUCUUGUACCUGAGAUCAAGAGAAAGAAACCAAGAAGAAGAAGGAAGAAAAAAUAGUCAAAAUUAAAAGCUAUAAAUCGGAGCUAAAGAAAGAACCAAGAAGAAGAUGAUGAUGAUAUAGAAGGUGAUGAAGAAGAAGACACUAUUCCUAUAUAUUAUGUAUUAUAAUACAAAUACAAACCUCAAAGCCCUAUCUCUCUCUAUCUGUAUAUCUCUUUCUCUCUCUCUACUGUUUUGUGUUCUUCUUCUUUUAAAAAUAAGCCAUAUAUGAAAUGAUCUUGAAAAGUAUGUCUAAGGUCCCCUCUCUGUCUCUAUCAUUUUAUUUUAUUUCAUUUAUAUAAAAUAAAGCUACUUUUUUUCUUAUAAUUUAAUUUGACAGAAUUAAGAAGGAUGGUUACGGUUUGGGUGUCACUGUUAAAACGGUGAAAUGUGUCCACAUGCGGGGGUGUGUUGUGGGUACCACAUUUUUCUCAUUCGUAUCUUUCUGGUGAGCUUUAAGACAAAACCCUCGUUUUCUCUUCAUUUAACUUGAUUAGGUUUUGUUGUACUAACUUUUUAUUGUUUUUAUCUAACAAAAUCGUUAAUAAUAUAACAUAUUGUAUAUUAAUACACAUGAUACACCAAUCAUAUAGACACUUUUUUAAAUUUGUUAGAUUCUUUGUAUGAAAAUUAAUAUAUUGCUUUUUUAUUUUGGUUCAAUAUGUUCAAUUGUUCAACCUUAAUUAAGAAAAAUCCAAUGCAAAAGAAUUGAACCAAUUGGUUUGAACCAAACCUUAAUCCUGAACGAGUAACCCUCAACCGAUCUGAAUAGAUUUUAUAACAAUAAAUCAGAAAAUUUCAAUCUUAAUAAACGUGUAUCCAGAAUUUGUCCCGAAUCAUCAUCAUCUUCAAUAAUCGUUUUGCCAAUAAAAUGGAAUGAACUUCUUCAAUGCGCUUCAUCAUUCUAUGAACUUUUAGAUAGCCAGAGAAUAUUCACAAUAGUAUUUGAAUGAAUUUGCUGAUACCCAUGUAAUAGUUGCUGCUUGCCAUAUACCAAGUAGAUUUGUACCAUUUUAAUUCCAAUAUCACUUUAAGAGCUUUGAUAAAAUAAGAUUGAUAUAUAUUACUAAUCGACCGUAUAGUUUGAUUUUCUCUUUUUCACCUAGUCUUUUUAUCUUAUAUAAUUUAAUUGUUACUUUAGUUUAAUUAGAAAGUACCAAAACAUAUUAACUUGAUACUCUCUUCAUUUUAACAAAAAAACAUAUUAAGUAUCAGGCAACUUCUCAACUUGAUACUCUCUUCAUUACCAUCGACCCUUAUAAUAAGAUCGUACCAACUAAGCUGAAAUAGCUAAGCCUCUCUGAUUGGGUUGUAAUAUGAAAUAGCACACACUCACACACACAAAAGAGCCUAUAUAAGGAGAUAGAUACCAAACACAGCCCACGAACCAGUUGUUUUUUGGGCCAGCCCUCUAGAAAAGUAAGCCCACAAGAAACUUAGAUGAACCGAAAUUGUAUGGGAAAAUAAGAAAAACUCAACAACUCUGUUUCUGCCAUUCCGAGAGUUGAUAAUAAUUUUUAUAACUGAAUCUGAUACACUUCAAAGUUAAUGGAUUAGCUAGUCAACAUAUGAAGAGCUAGGUCUCUUUUUCACUAGCUCCGUUUCAUCAAUAGAACGAAAGAGAUAAACUUGGAAAAUAAGGAACAGCUAAGCGUUUGUAACAAGAGUGAUACAAAUGAUAAUAACCUGUAGAAUGAGGAUUAAGAUCGAAAGCGACGAGGUUAUCUUCAUCGCGAAGCACGAGGAUAACCUUAUUGGUGUCCCUACAAAUGGCCAAAGGUGUGAGAGGAGGGUGCGGAAUGUCAUGAGUACCAAACAAAGUGGAGUAAUUGGAAGUGGAAGGCAAGUGAACGGAGAAGAUCUUUUCCCAUGUGUUGUCUUUAACCCUCCACCAAAUUUCUUGCUUAUCUCCAAUCCACUCAGAGAUGCAGAGACGGCCAUGGAGAUUGCAUAGAACAAUGCUAUCACCAUAACAAUCAGAGGUAAUAAAAGGUGGGGUUUGAAUGAUUUGAAACAUCUCUGUGUGAAUAUCAAAAACUAUGAGUUUGGUAUUUGAUGUUGGAUCUCCAUCUUCAUCUCCCGUGACCCAGUAGAUUGAUCCGUCUGCAAACACUGGCCCCUGAUCGCUAUACAGAUUAUGAUUCAAGAUAUUAUGACGAUCAAGAGUAUUAGUAUUCACGAACCUAUGUUUUUUCUUCUAAAUCCAAAACCUCACACGUAGUAGUAAAAAAAGGAUAAGUAUUAUAUAGCCAUACUAGUUUAUAUCUUCCCGUAACGCUAUCUUUACUGUCAAAUAUUAUGGAAUAAAAUAUAUUAUUGAGUUGUAUCAAAUAUGAAAAUACAAGAUACAUAUAUAUAAUGUCAACAUUAACAUAAUGCUAACACCCAUAUAAUGUAAACUUUCCUAAACACAUAAGUAUAUAGCUUGUACAAGAGGUAAUAUAGAGAUCUAGAAUAUUCUUCGGUUUGGGCUUCACUCCAUAAUGGACUUUAACGAUCCAUAUUACUUGGUCCGCAAGAUACACAUCUUGCGUAUCUCCAAUACUCCCUUCACGACAAAAGUGAGAGACGCAAAACGCAAAAUAUGCAAUCACAAAGCGGAACACCUAUGUCGUGGACAUCAUGUCGAGGAAGGACAAAUCAUGUCAAACACUCCUCGGGGUACAACAAACUUCAAAAGAGGGAUGGAACUUCAGCUCGCCUUUAGUCUUGGUAAAUUGGGAAUAACAACAUCCCGUGGGUGCAAAUCUUGCAACUCCACAAAUAAUUGUCCUUAUCACGGAUAGUCCACAAAUCGGAUUAAAAAAUUUUGACCUAAAAACAAGAGCAUUCCAAACAACUCCCCCGUAAUAUGAGAAAUCAAAACUCAUAUUAAAAAAAUUAAAUAUUCUAAUCAACAAUAAAUCUCCGUGAAACCCAAAAACCCAUAAGCAUCAUCACUUUGUAGAAUAUCCUAAUUAGAAAAACUCUUGCACUAAUUCAAUAAAGCCUUAUUUAGAAAGAAACCUAACUAUUGUAAUAAACGUAGACAUAAAAAAAAUAUCUCAUACCCUAAAAUCAAAACCAUAACGUGGACACAACCUCACGUCAUCAUCAUCUGGAUCGUCACCAUCACCAUCGUCUUCGAUGGCUUCACAUCCCAUGGGCAUUAUGAUCACAAAUUUUUUUUAAUGCGGAAGCGUUUAAUUUAGAUUAACAACUCACAAGGAUCGACUUCUCUGAUACCAUGUCAAAUAUUAUGGAAUAAAAUAUAUUACCUCAAUACUCCCCCGCACGACAAACGUGGUCCGCAAAACGCAAACUUUGCAAUCACAAAGCGGAACACGUAUGUCGUGGAGGAUAUGUCGGGACGGACAAAUCAUGUCAACAAACGCCUAAGGGUAUAAGCUUCAAUCUUGAAAAUAGGGGUGGAAUUUUUGCUCGUCUUUGGUCUUGGUAAAAGGGAAUACAUCCCGUGGGCGCAAAUUAUGCUGCUCCACAAACAAUCAUCCUUAUCUUGGAUGGUCCAUAACUCGGACUAAACAUGACCUAAAAACAUGAGCGUUCCAAUAAACUAUACUAAUGGUUAAACUAUAACCAAACUCCCCCGUAAUGGUAAAACUAUUACCAAACUCUCUUACAACUAGAAGAGCCAAUAUAUAAAAUUUCUCUGAAAAAAUCUUAACUCAAGAAUAUCCAGAAACAAUAAAACUAGAAACCCAUAUAAGCCAUAAACGACCCUUUAGAAUCAUUAUUUUAAAUAAAAGAAAAACCCCAUUAAUUAUUGUACUAAAAACCAAAAACAGAACUCUAACUAAGAGUAAAUUGUUCUCUUAAUAAAAAACCUAACGUGGAACAAAUCCACACCUCACGUCAUCAUCGUCUCCGUCUCCACCGUCUUCAACAUCAUCUUCUCCUCCAAGGGUCACCGUCUCCAUGAUCUUCUCUUGAUCACAAGAGUUCUAAUGCGGAAGCUUUAAUUUCGAUCCACUAGAAUCGUCUGCUCUGAUACCAUGUCAAAUAUUAUGGAAUAAAAUAUAUUAUUGAGUUGUAUCAAAUAUGAAAAUACAAGAUACAUAUAUAUAAUGUCAACAUUAACAUAAUGCUAACACCCAUAUAAUGUAAAUUUUCCUAAACACAUAAGUAUAUAGCUUGUACAAGAGGUAAUAUAGAGAUCUAGAAUAUUCUUCGGUUUGGGCUUCACUCCAUAAUGGACUUUAACGAUCCAUAUUACUGGGUCCGCAAGAUACACAUUUUGCGUAUCUCCAAUAUUUACCAAAUCCAAACUGAGAAAAUGACAGUCUUGGAUAUUUAACAGGAUUUGGAUCUUGAACUGAAUCGGGAUCGACCUGUUUGUUCAUACAAAUCUGUUGAAUUCUCGAUAGUGGGAGUUCUAUGUACGUUUUUGUAGCCGGAUUUACCACUUUUACUGCUAUGUCAACGGCAUAUAAGCAGACAAGGCCAUCGCAGCUCUCUGAAAUAUAGAGAUUCCAUUCAGUUAUUUCGAAUUUCAAAGCCUUUUCAUCUAUCACAGAAGCUGACGUCGGCUCCAAGGCAACUGUUUCUAAAGAGAAAUUGGUUUCCUAUGCCACUUUAGCUACAAAAUAAUUAGAGACAAGAAGAAGUUUGCACUCUUUGCUUUGCUCAAGAGCCAUGUAUCUUUCUACGAAAUCCUUCGACAUGAUAAAAGAUCUCCAGUGUUUUGACACAGCUAGAAAUCUCAUGAGCGUUUUCACUGGAAGCAUCACCAUGAUUUCUUCGACGAUAUCGUUAGGUAUAUGAAUCUUCUCAAACUCGCUUCUUCUUCGUUUGAUUUCUUUUCUUGCGGACGAAGCAACUUGUUUGUUUGUAAGUAGUUUCUGAGUCUUCUCCAUUGAUGUCAUGUUUACUUCUUCUUACUCUCGUGAAUUGAAUGUCCGCCGAAUUCAUAAACUAUGUCUAGCAAGGAAUUAGGUCAACGAACUAACAUAACCUAAUACACUUUGUUUUGUUUAAGUUACGCAUCUAUUGGGCCUAAACGAGCCAAUACAAAAUAGUUCUACAAAACCAAUGAUCUAACAUAUAUAACCCAUUAAAUUUUUUGUAUAUCAAACAUAUUUGUUUUCUUUUUCUUGAUCAAGGAAUCAAAUUAAACAAAAAAAAAAUAAUAAUAACUUGGCAAGAAAGAUUUCAAAAAAAAAAACUCACUGGUUGUCACAAGCCCUCUUGAAAAACUUAGCAAGUCAAGCAAAUUACUCGAACAAUGGUGUUCACCGGUUGUUGAACUUGCCUAUGUCCUUCGCUCGUUGCGCUCGUGCCAGAGGUUAUAGACCGUUGACUGAAACGCCAUAUAAAUAAGGAUGAAAGUUAAUUUCUCAUAGGGUUUAUCCAUUAGCCGAUGUAUUGUGAUAUGAUGGUCCAGUCCGGUUCCGGCACCACACCAAGAAUAUCUUCUACUACCUCUGUCCAUACCGUAAACGUGUAGGGACAAGCAAAGAACAAUUGAUCCCUCGUUUCAUCUGUCUCUCCCAAAAAAACAAACAAGUUUGGACACAACGCCAAUCAAAUAAUCUUACUCCAUCUCACUCUUACUACAUCAUCACCGUCCAGAGCUUGCAAACAGUGAUAAUGUGGUUCUAAUCAAUUGCACAUUUCAAUUUACAAAUCAUAACAUAUUAAGUAUUAGGUGUAAGUUUUUUUUUAAUACUAUCGACAAGACCCAAGCCUUAACCCAUUAUUUUCUACUAUGAGCAAUAACAAGAUUUGAUGGAGUGAAUUCUGGUGAGGAAAGUUACAGAAUUGGACCUUUAGCAUUUGACUAAAGACACUUCUCCAGUUUUUUUUUUUUUUUCUUUGAGUGUAAAAUUGUUUUAAAUUUAAAACUUAAUUAAAUUCGAUAUUUGUGUAUGAAAGAGUUCUGUGAGGAAUCUCUUAGUAUUAUUUUUGUUUUCUUGGUUAAACGUAAAUUGUAAUGCAAAAAGGAACGAAAGAGAGUGUGAUACAACAAGCAGCCCAACGGUUAACACCAAUAUGUUUUUAGAACAGCCCACUCGAAAAUUAAACUAACAUGAAACCUAAAUGAAUCAAGAUUGUAAGGAAUAACUAAAAUUUAAAACCGUCACCAAGAUCAAAGAGACACAAUAUAUAUCAACUGUGUAUGCAUGUGUCUACCAUUCGGAGAGUUAGAUAUUCUGGAAACUACGAAUGAAACUCACACACACUUAUUGCCAAUUUUGAUAAUUGAUACACAUCAAAGUUAUUGGAUCAGUCAACAUAUAUGACAAGCUAGGUCUCUUUUUCAAUAGAAUGAAAGAGUGAUAAACUUGGAAAAUAAGGAACAGCUAAGCCUUUGUAACAAGAGAUAUACAAAUGAUAACCUGUAGAGUGAGGAUAGCCUUAUUGGUGUCCCUACAAAUGGCCAAAGGUGUGAGAGGGUGCGGGAAGUCAAUACCAAACAAAGUACAAGUGGAAGGCAAAUGAACGGAGAAGAUCCUUUCCCAUGUAUUAUCUUUAACCCUCCACCAAAACUCUUGCGUAUCUAAGUAAUUAUCAACCAGCACUUGAGAUAUACAGAGAUGGCCAUGGAGAUUGCAUAAAACAAUGAGAUUACCAUAAAGAUAAGAGGUAAUAAAAGGUGGGGUUUCAACGACUUGAAACAUCUCUGUGUGAAUAUCAAAAACUAUGAGUUUGGUAUCUAAAUUUGGCUCUCCAUCUUCAUCUCCAGUGAGCCAGUAUAGAUUGAUCCGUCUGCAAACACUGGCCCCUGAUCGUUGAACAAAUUAUGAUUCAUGAUAUGACGAUCAAGAGUAUCAGUAUUCACGAACCUCCAUGUUUUUUCUUCUAAAUCCAAAACCUCACACGUAGUAGUAGAAAAAAGAAAGGUAUUAUAUAGCCAUACUAGUUUAUAUCUCCCCGUAACGCUAUCUUUCCCAAAUCCAAACUGAGAAAAUGACAGUCCAUGAACUGAAUUCGGACGGCACCUGUACUUUGUGCAUACAAAUCUGUUGAAUUCUCGAUAGUGGGAGUUCUAUGUACAUUUUUGUGGCCGGAUUUACCACUUUUACUGCUAUGUUAAUGGCGUAUAAGCAGACAAGGCCAUCGCAGCUCUCUGAAAUAUAGAGUUUCCAUUCAGUUUUUCGAAUUUCAAAGCCUUUUCAUCUACCACAGAAGCUGACGUCGGCUCCAAGGCAACUGUUAUUAAAGAGAAAUUGGUUUUCUGUGCCACAUUAUCUUUAAAAUAAUUAGAGACAAGAAGAAGUUUGCACUCUUUGCUUUGCUCAAGAGCCUUGUAUCUUUCUCCGAAUUCCUUAGACGUGAUCAGAGAUCUCCAGUGUUUUGACACAGCUCGAAAUCUCAUGAGCGAUUUCACUGGAAGCAUCACCAUGAUUUCUUCGACGAUAUCGUUAGGUAUAUGAAUCUUCUCAAACUCGCUUCCUCUUCGUUUGAUUUCUUUUCUUGCGGACGAAGCAACUUGCUUGUUUGUAAGUAGUUUCUGAGUCUUCUCCAUUGAUGUCAUGUUUUCUUCUUCUUACUCUCGUGAUUUAGAGUGUGCGCAGAAUUUAUAAACUGUGUUUUGCCUUCUUCUACCAAAACUCGAUUUCCUUAUUUCAGCAAUUAGGUUAAACUAACCGACAUAAUGUGGUGGGCUUUAAGACAAAACCAAAACUCCACAAAUCAGUGUUUAGGAAUUAGGACCUUUAGAGCAUGAUUAACAAUGGUAUCUUAAAAAUGGUUCUUAGAAGUAUUAAAGUAAUAAUAUGACAUGUGGUUGGUUCUUAAGGUUAGUUUUGGGUCUUAACUAAGCCACUUUUCUUAGUUUUGGGUCUUAGCUAAGUUACAUUUCUUACUUAAGAACUCUUUAAGAUACCCUUGUUAGGUUUUACUUUUUAAAUCAUCAGUUGGGCCUAAGCGAGCCCAAAGGCUAGAACUAAAUAAUUCUACAACUGAUUUUUUUUUACGGCAAAAAUUCUACAAUUAAUUAAAAAACAUAUUGAUGGGUUUUUUCAAUGGUAAUAAUAACUGACUAUGAUUACAAUAUAUAAAUGUUAUUUUUUUUAAUUUUCUCAACCACAGUUAUCAAGUAUUGUAAAAAUUCUGUCUUUUUUUUUUCCUGCAAUCAAUAUCAUAUCUUAUUAUAUAAUUUUGAAAACCGUACUUUAUAUAAUAAAAUGUGUGAUAGUCUCUAACUCAUCAUAACUGUGUUAGUCCGUUACUCAUUCGAUUUUGGCAUUAUUUGAUAAAAACAAUUACAACUUUUUUUUUUCUAGGAGACUCAAGAUCUUUUAUGUACAUAAAAUUUGGUUUACCAAAUGUUUGUCAAAAUUCAUGAGAUAAAAAAUUAAAGCUUUUUCUUUUUACUUUAAAUUCCUUUUUCACUAAAAAACAAUUUAAAUUCCCUCUAUGCAACUACAUAGAAGUAGUAUUUUGAUCAUUAAUUAGUCAUCAUCAUCUUUAUUCUUGUUAUUCUCUCAUUUUUUUUCAAUCUUUUUCUUGAAAAUUGAAAAUCAACUCAUACUUAAUCCAUGGGAUGGACGCAUAUCGAAGAUUCUCUUCUUUUGGAAGACGUCAGGAAAUACGGAACACUCAAGUGGAAACAAGUAGCUGUGUCGAUGUUAUCGCACCAACAUUCUCAUGUUGCGUGCAAAGCAAGAAUACUCGAAUUGAUCGAAUCAAAUGUAGCUUUCUCUUUCAUUCGCAGUUUCCGAUCAAAAAGAUGAUCGUGAAUUAUGUAUAAUAGUAUUUGUUUAGGUAUUCUUUUAAUUUGUAUGGUGAUGAUGUCGAUAUAGUAUACUUUUUCGAUGUAUUUUGUAGACUUUUUUAGGUUAUGUAUAUUAUCUGCACACUAUUUUAGGUUAUGAUUGAUGAAGUCAUAGAUUUCAAGAUGACCAUGACUUAACUUUAAUAAUUAUUUUAUGCCUUUUAUCUGAACCAACAUUAUGGUUACGAAUCCCAUGGAAGCUUCCCCGCAAUCAAAAAUUGUUAGCCAAAACAAAAAGAGAAAGGUUUUUAAUUACUCUUAAAUAAAUUUUUAUGUUUUUUUUAUCAUUGAAAUCAUUUUUUUUAAUAACUAUACAGCCUGCGGCAAAGAGCAAAAUAAUACCUCUUGGAUUCGUCCGGAAAGCAAAGAAAAAACCAAGAUAUGAGAUGUCUGAAUUCGUUAAUAACUUUAAAAUUCCCUAUAUAACACUAAAAAAAAAUUGAGUUAGUAGGAAGAACUUUGAGACAAAAAUAUUUGUUUAUUACGAUUUUGUUAUCAUUUGUAUUUGUCACAAAUUCGUAGUUGGUUUGUCACAAUGUUGUGACAAAAUAAACCAUGACCGAAUAUUGUCACAAUUAGUGACAAAAUUAUAACCACAAUUGUAAACGUAGCAAUUGUGACAAUAUUAUGACAUAUAGUCACAAAUUUGGUACAGUUUUUUUUUUUUACUAUUCUACGAGUGACAGUUUGUGACAUUGUAGUGACUAUUUGUUAGUAACUAUAUAAUUGGUCUUCAUCAUUGACAAUUUUUUUGUCUUAAAUCUAUAUAUAUAAUAGGAGAGUCUUCUCUCCAUCUAAGCUAUCCACAUCAUCAUCCACCUAAGCAUGCAUUUAAUUACAAAUUAAAAAUAUAAUUUAUUUAAAAUGUUCAUGCAAUACAUAUUUAUUUUUAGUUAUUGUUACAAAUAAAUUAAUAUUAUAAAUAAAAAACAAAGAAAUAUAAAUUUAUACAUAAUAAUAUAAUUUAGUCUUCUCUCCAUCUAGGCUAUCAACUCAUCAUUCACCUAAGCAUGCAUUUAAUCAAAAAUUAAAAAUAUAAUUUAUUUUAAAUGCUCAUUCAAUACAUAUUUAUUUUUAGUUAUUGUUAUUUAUGAUUAAAAAUAUUUAAGUUAAAUACAAAUGAAUUAAUAUUAUAAGCAAAACACAAAGAAAUAUAAACUUAUACAUAAUAAUAGAAAUUGAAUUUUAGCGAGAAAAUGUUUAAGAUUAAUCAUAUUUAAAAUUUUAUAAACAUUUCUGUUUUAGAAUUGAGAUAUUAAAAAUCAAUAUGAUGGAUAUUUCAGUUUUAAAAUUGAUAUAUUCAAAAUCAAUAUGAUGGAUAUUGCAAAAAUUAUAUGAAAGUUGAAAGAUCAUACAUUUAUUAACUUUCAAAAAACAAAUAUAGUAAUGAAUCAUGAAAUACUUAAAAAUCAAUAUGUUGGGUAAUUCUAAAAUUCUAUAAAAUUAUAUAUAUAUAUAUUUGUCAACAUUUGGGCCACAACUGGCCGGCCCAUUAGCCUAAUUUCUACAAUUAAAUUGUAGAGUCGGGACUCGAUCCCUGGUGUGAUAUAUAUAUAUAUAUAUAUAUAUAUAUAGCUAAAUAGUAUCGUGUAUAAUAAUUUAAAACAAAACUAAAAUAUAAUUAUGUAUACUUUUAAUAUUUUA
This 40389-nucleotide long non-coding RNA is filed under the name Arabidopsis lyrata. RNAcentral's name for it is "long non-coding RNA (ALYR_LNC001525)". Lineage: Eukaryota; Viridiplantae; Streptophyta; Magnoliopsida; Brassicales; Brassicaceae. The record is from RNAcentral.